Molecule: non-coding RNA, 628 nt
Organism: Pygocentrus nattereri (red-bellied piranha)
Lineage: Eukaryota; Metazoa; Chordata; Actinopteri; Characiformes; Serrasalmidae
Source: the annotation of a RefSeq genome assembly
GAUGAUUUUCAUGCUGAAGACACUUUGCAUUAGCAGCUCAUGCUUCAGUGCUCUGGGAGAGUUUAUAGCUCUGUCAGUUUAACACUUCAUGACUGAGAGCUGAUCUACAUGAUCACACAUCAAAAAGCCAUCAUGACUUUAAUCAGCAUCUUUAUCUGGACGAUCAUCACCUGCAGCUCAGACUCUUUAGGGCAGGUUGUGUUGACUCAGUCUGGAGAUCAGACAGUGCAGCCUGAUCACACUGUCACUAUUACCUGCAAACAUGAUCCAGCAAUAGACUGUGUUAAAAAAGAUACAACACAAUACUGUAUGUCCUGGUAUCAUCAGAUUCCUGGAGAAGCUCCUAAACUCCUGAUCUCUUCCACGUCUGACAGAGCUUCUGGACUUUCCUCUAGAUUCAGUGGCAGUGACAGUGGAAACAGGGUUGACUUCUCUCUGACCAUCAGUAAAGUCCAGCCUGAAGAUUCAGGAGUUUAUUACUGUCAGAGUCAACACAACACAGGAACUUCCACAAACAUAGUGUGGGUGUUCACACAGUGAAAAAUCAUCGUACAAUAACCUCGUUUUUUAUGCACUGCUGCAGCAGCAGGUGUUGAGGGGGAAAAUUACAUGACCCACUGAGGAGAUA